UUGUGACUGUCCUUCUGCCUCCUUGUCCUAGGUGCUGGGAUUACAAAUGUGAACUCCCACACUUCCUGCAACAGGAUGUUUGUUUUGUUUUGAGAUUUGGUCUCAUACAGUCUAGGCUGGCUUUGAACUCACACUGCUGUUGAAAGGAACCAGCCUCCACCUCCUGAGUGCUGGGAUCACACAGGAAUGUGCCACUGUGCUGGCUUUACGCAGUAUAGGGAUUGAACCCAAGACUUUGUGUACCUCAGUCAGGUAAGUGCUCUAUCCAGCCCCUCAGAAGGAUGACUUGAGUUGGAUACGACAAUGCCAGACACUUAGGAAGUGUAAAUGGAUAGAGGCGGCAGAUGUUUUGGGGAGCAGUCAAGGCCUGCCUGAAGGCUUGCUAGAAUUACAGACUCACUGUGCCUGAAUCUGCAUUUUACCAAAUGCCCCGGUGAUUCAUGCAUGCAUUAGAGUUUGAAAGGCCAGCUGCAGGGGUCUAUAAUAAAAAUGUCUGACUUCUUCCAGGUCCCAGAACUGAAAGAGAAAGGACAGACUGUGUGAAUAAGGAAUGGCGGGUGUCUCAGAGCCAGAAAAAGAAAGUACUGUAAAGUGGAGCAGUGGAUGUCCCCUGGGUCUUUACCAUCUGUUGAGCCAGUCAUGGCAUCCCUCCCUGGGGAAGAACAGCCCCACCCCCAGACACGCUGUUCAUCUUCUUGAUGACAAGUGGAUCCACCCAUGGGAGACCUGCUCUUUGCUGGGUUUAAAAUCCACCACCAAGCAGCUGUUAUUUUUGCAAAGGUCAAAGGGCAACUUAAUAUUCAGGAUCACUCUCUGUUGGAUAAUUUUAUGUCAGCUUCGAACAGGCUGGAGUUAGCCGAGAGGUGGGAAUCCCAACUGAGAAAAUGCCCCCAUAAGAUCGAGUUGUACGCAAGCCUGUAGGGCAUUUUCUUAAUUAGUGAUUGCUGGGAGAGGGCCCAGGCCGUUAUAAGUAGGGUCAUCCCUGGGCUGGUGGUCCUGGGGUCUGUAACAGAGCAGGCUGAGUGAGCUAUGGAGAGAAAGCUAAUAAGCAGCACCCCUCCAUGACUUCUGUGUUAGUCCUUUUCUCCAGGUUCCUACCCUGUUUGAGUUCCUGUCCUGACUUCCUUCAGUGAUGGAGUAUGGUUGUGGAAACAGAAGCCAAGUAAACCCCUUCCUUCCCAAUUUGCCUAUGGUCAUAGUGUUUCACCAUAGCAACAGUAACCCAAACUAUAAGUCAGAAGCUGGCUUCAGGAGAGUGAGGUGUUGCUCUGACAGACCUGACCAUGCUUUGGGGAGGAUCGUGGAAGGACUUUGGAACCUUGGGCUGGAAAAGCCAGUGAGUGUUGAGAGCUUGGUGGGCUGUUCUGUAGGAGCUUGGACGAUCAGAGAGCUGAGAGCAGGGCAGAUGAUGGAGGCCUGGCUUGAGAAGUUUCAGAGGGAGGCAAAGGCUCUGCUAUGCCAUUUGUGUGAAGACUUUGUAGUUCUGGUCAGCUGGAGCUGAAGAAUUGGCUGUGAUCAACAAGAAACCAGAACCACUCCAAUAAAACCUUUGAUUUGCUGAGAUAGUGGGUGCUGGUCGGCUGGGGCUGAGCGAUCAGCUGUGAUUAAGCAGUGGCUCCUGAGAGGUAGCACAAGGAGCUGCAUUCUAGAGGUGGCCCAGGCUGUACUUUGUGCUGCCAGAUGAACUCUGUACUGUGUAAGAGUAUCCCAGGUGGUACUGGUUCUGACGGCAUGAAGGGGUCAUGGAGAGCUGCCGAGGCUUGGCGCUGUGAGAGAUGAGGCAAGACCAUUGGUGAAGGUGGAGCCUUACUAGCAAUUGAAUCCCCAGGACUGAAGGGGCAAUGAAGAGAAGCUGAGGCUUGCCACCAUGAAAAGAGCCCAGCAGAGGCUACUGGUGAAAAUGCAGCCCAGUUGCAGCACAAGACCUCAGCACUUUGGAGAUGCCAGUACCAAGGAUGACCACCAAGAACAGCAGCGGCUAUGAAGAGGAGCCGGCCGGAAUCUAGAAGACAACCUGUGUGUGCUGCAGAGGGCAGAGGUGGGCAAGUGCCCUUCGACAGCCAGAGGAUUAGAUCAACAGACGGCUCUGCCACACACUUCUCCACGCUGUACUCUGCCACCACAGGGCCAAGCAACAGGACCAAGUGACCGUGGGCACAGCUGUGUGCUUCCAGGAACACACCAGCUGUUUGUGAGCCUCCUACUGCGGGAAGGACACAAGUUUGCGGCUCUGGCAAUUACUGAAGAGGCUUGAAAAGGGGGAAAAUGUAAGACAGAUUUAUCAGCAUCUUGUCAAGUCCAGGCACUUACUACAUCUAGGAAAGCUCCAGAGAAGCAGCCUCUAGAAGCUCCAAUCUCCUCUCACAGACACAGACACUUCCGUUGGACCUAUUCCUCAGAUGGCUUCACAGACCCUGGAUAACAAGGAAACUGUUAUGGAUAACAGCCAACUGUAAGACUGGACAAACACCCCCAUACCCAUUCUUCCAGUUUCCUAAAGACACGUCGCCCCAAUGCCAGUAGGAAGUACUUAGGGAUCACAAGAACCCUAUUCCUGCCCCACCAUCACCUCUUUCUAAAUUUUCCUUUUGAAUUUAACCAAAAGCUGAUACUUUCAGGUCAUCAUCCAUCUUUGAGUGCCGGUGAAAUGUGAUCCAGCCUCUUCCAUGUGUGCCUCAUGCUCCUGCCUUGGUACCUUUCCUGCCAUGGACUUUCUCCCUCUGGAACCAUCAGCUGAAAUAAAUCCUUCUCCCCUCCUA
Long non-coding RNA from Mus musculus (house mouse), 2759 nucleotides. RefSeq annotates it as predicted gene, 39447. The record is from RefSeq and is a predicted model, not a curated record. NCBI's taxonomy places the organism in Eukaryota, Metazoa, Chordata, Mammalia, Rodentia, Muridae. The transcript has 4 exons.